CGUUGAAGGUAGUUGCCAUUAUAUCUAUCCUUUUUUAGUAUAUUUCAAAUUCUAUCUGGGUUGAAAAAAGUUAAUUUGGUGGAAUUGUAAAGAAAUUAUUGUUUUCAAUUCAGUAGAGUACUUAUGUCCAUAAAUUUUAUAUCUCACAGUGGUUUCCCCAUGUGAGUGCCCAAGUUUGUGGGUUGAACAAUCUCAUCACACAAUUUCUAUCAAACUUGCUCUAUUACCUGCUUCAAGGUGAAUGGUUUGGAUGCUGUACUGAAGUUGUUGUACUUGUAAUCCUCACCCAUUUUCUACUGCUGCCAAAGGGUUUCUCUAUUUCUUCGUGUACCCUCCUAGUCUUUGCAGUGGCUUCCAUAGUAUAAUGUUUCUUUAUGCCAAAUUCACCACUUUGAAUUCAAAUUUCCCCUGGUCUGGCCCCCUCUUAUGUUGCUUUCCUGCUGAAUCUAGCAUCUUCAAUCAAACAAAUUUCAAGAUAAAUUCUUUCUAGUUUCUUCAAUCAGUUUUGCUGUCACAAAGGGAGUAGAAGCAGAUAGAAACCUGGCUGAUUGGAUGAGCCAACGAGGCUGUACAUUAAUGCCGUUUGCCCCCCUUAGAUAGAUUGCUAUUAAUAUUUUGAAUAUUUACCUUUUCCUGUUCUUUUUUGGCCAUUUCCAUAUUAUUCCAUGGUAAAUCUUUUUUAUCCUUGACAAAGAUUUAGUUUUUCAGUUUAUUUGAGAAGUUAGUUGAUUUCAUUCAUUCAGAUGACGUUAUGCAGAUUUUCAACAUCUUAUCUUUUAAUUUAGAAUGGAACAUUUAUAUUGAUAUUACUAAUGUAACAUGCAGCAAAUUUG
RNAcentral lists this unclassified non-coding RNA (833 nucleotides) under Hevea brasiliensis (rubber tree). Lineage: Eukaryota; Viridiplantae; Streptophyta; Magnoliopsida; Malpighiales; Euphorbiaceae. The record is from RNAcentral.